RNAcentral lists this ribosomal RNA (652 nucleotides) under Bacillus sp. MJk12. RNAcentral's name for it is "bacterial SSU rRNA". It matches the Rfam family "Bacterial small subunit ribosomal RNA", at positions 119 to 755 of the family's 1533-position model. Lineage: Bacteria; Bacillati; Bacillota; Bacilli; Caryophanales; Bacillaceae. The record is from RNAcentral.
GGGCAACCUGCCCUUGAGACGGGGAUAACUCCGGGAAACCGGAGCUAAUACCGGAUAACACAUAUCUUCGCAUGAGGAUAUGUUAGAAGGUGGCUUUUAGCUACCACUCAAGGAUGGGCCCGCGGCGCAUUAGCUAGUUGGUGAGGUAACGGCUCACCAAGGCGACGAUGCGUAGCCGACCUGAGAGGGUGAUCGGCCACACUGGGACUGAGACACGGCCCAGACUCCUACGGGAGGCAGCAGUAGGGAAUCUUCCGCAAUGGACGAAAGUCUGACGGAGCAACGCCGCGUGAGUGAUGAAGGUUUUCGGAUCGUAAAGCUCUGUUGUUAGGGAAGAACAAGUACCUGUUAAAUAAGCAGGUACCUUGACGGUACCUAACCAGAAAGCCACGGCUAACUACGUGCCAGCAGCCGCGGUAAUACGUAGGUGGCAAGCGUUGUCCGGAAUUAUUGGGCGUAAAGCGCGCGCAGGCGGUUCCUUAAGUCUGAUGUGAAAGCCCACGGCUCAACCGUGGAGGGUCAUUGGAAACUGGGGAACUUGAGUGCAGAAGAGGAGAGCGGAAUUCCACGUGUAGCGGUGAAAUGCGUAGAGAUGUGGAGGAACACCAGUGGCGAAGGCGGCUCUCUGGUCUGUAACUGACGCUGAGGCGCG